RNAcentral lists this ribosomal RNA (500 nucleotides) under uncultured bacterium. RNAcentral describes it as "partial 16S ribosomal RNA". It matches the Rfam family "Bacterial small subunit ribosomal RNA", at positions 28 to 523 of the family's 1533-position model. The record is from RNAcentral.
GAUGAACGCUAGCGGCAGGCCUAAUACAUGCAAGUCGAACGAUAUUACCCAGCUUGCUUAAUUGCUGACGACCGGCGCACGGGUGCGUAACGCGUAUGCAACCUACCUUAUACUGGGGUAUAGCCCGGAGAAAUUCGGAUUAAUCCCCCAUAGUACUAAUGAAUCGCAUGGUUUAUUAGUUAAAGCAUUGCGGUAUAAGAUGGGGAUGCGUCCUAUUAGCUAGAUGGUGAGGUAACGGCUCACCAUGGCUACGAUAGGUAGGGGGCCUGAGAGGGUGGUCCCCCACACUGGUACUGAGACACGGACCAGACUCCUACGGGAGGCAGCAGUGAGGAAUAUUGGUCAAUGGGCGCAAGCCUGAACCAGCCAUGCCGCGUGCAGGAAGAAUGCCCUAUGGGUUGUAAACCGCUUUUAUUUGGGAAUAAACCUCUUUACGUGUAGAGAGCUGAAGGUACCAAAUGAAUAAGCACCGGCUAACUCCGUGCCAGCCGCCGCGGUAA